ACCUGCCGACAACACUGGGAUAGCCUUUCGAAAGAAAGAUUAAUACCGGAUGGCAUAGUCUUCCCGCAUGGGAUGAUUAUUAAAGAAUUUCGGUUGUCGAUGGGGAUGCGUUCCAUUAGGCAGUUGGCGGGGUAACGGCCCACCAAACCUACGAUGGAUAGGGGUUCUGAGAGGAAGGUCCCCCACAUUGGAACUGAGACACGGUCCAAACUCCUACGGGAGGCAGCAGUGAGGAAUAUUGGUCAAUGGACGAGAGUCUGAACCAGCCAAGUAGCGUGAAGGAUGACUGCCCUAUGGGUUGUAAACUUCUUUUAUACGGGAAUAAAGUUAGCCACGUGUGGCUUUUUGUAUGUACCGUAUGAAUAAGGAUCGGCUAACUCCGUGCCAGCAGCCGCGGUAAUACGGAGGAUCCGAGCGUUAUCCGGAUUUAUUGGGUUUAAAGGGAGCGUAGGCGGGUUGUUAAGUCAGUUGUGAAAGUU
Molecule: ribosomal RNA, 479 nt
Filed under: uncultured Bacteroidales bacterium
Lineage: Bacteria; Pseudomonadati; Bacteroidota; Bacteroidia; Bacteroidales
Description: bacterial SSU rRNA
Rfam family: Bacterial small subunit ribosomal RNA
Source: RNAcentral